Molecule: non-coding RNA, 45 nt
Organism: Schistosoma haematobium
Lineage: Eukaryota; Metazoa; Platyhelminthes; Trematoda; Strigeidida; Schistosomatidae
Source: Rfam
AUCUAGCUGACGAAUCCCAAAUAGGACGAAACGCGCGUCCUGGAU